Molecule: long non-coding RNA, 101 nt
Organism: Ipomoea nil (Japanese morning glory)
Lineage: Eukaryota; Viridiplantae; Streptophyta; Magnoliopsida; Solanales; Convolvulaceae
Exons: 3
Source: RefSeq, a predicted model, not a curated record
ACUAGCAUUUUGUUGGGAGGAAAAGAAUUGUAAUUCAGUGAGAAAAGAAUAAAUUGAGAAUUUAAAUUGUAUUGUUUGGUAGACAUGAAUAUAAUGAUGUG